Molecule: ribosomal RNA, 433 nt
Filed under: uncultured bacterium
Lineage: Bacteria
Description: bacterial SSU rRNA
Rfam family: Bacterial small subunit ribosomal RNA
Source: RNAcentral
UGAGGAAUAUUGGUCAAUGGGCGGGAGCCUGAACCAGCCAAGCCGCGUGAGGGAAGAAGGCCCUAUGGGUCGUAAACCUCUUUUGUCAGGGAACAAAAGCGAGUAUGUAUACUGGUCUGAGUGUACCUGAAGAAAAAGCAUCGGCUAACUCCGUGCCAGCAGCCGCGGUAAUACGGAGGAUGCGAGCGUUAUCCGGAUUUAUUGGGUUUAAAGGGUGCGUAGGCGGCGGUGCAAGUCAGCGGUAAAAGCCCGGGACUCAACCCCGGCGAGCCGUUGAAACUGCAGUGCUAGAGAAGGCGAGAGGUACGCGGAAUGCGCAGUGUAGCGGUGAAAUGCUUAGAUAUUGCGCAGAACUCCGAUCGCGAAGGCAGCGUACUGGCGCCUGACUGACGCUGAGGCACGAAAGCGUGGGGAUCGAACAGGAUUAGAUACC